UACGUAGGUGGCUAGCGUUGUCCGGAUUUACUGGGCGUAAAGAGCGCGCAGGCGGUCGUUCAAGUCGAGUGUGAAAGCCCCCGGCUCAACUGGGGAGGGUCACUCGAUACUGAUCGACUCGAAGGCAGGAGAGGGAAGCGGAAUUCCCGGUGUAGUGGUGAAAUGCGUAGAUAUCGGGAGGAACACCAGUGGCGAAGGCGGCUUCUGGCCUGUAACCGACGCUGAGGCGCGAAAGCGUGGGGAGCAAACAGG
This 252-nucleotide ribosomal RNA is filed under the name uncultured bacterium. RNAcentral describes it as "partial 16S ribosomal RNA". It matches the Rfam family "Bacterial small subunit ribosomal RNA", at positions 524 to 776 of the family's 1533-position model. The record is from RNAcentral.